GAUGAAGAACGUAGCGAAAUGCGAUAAGUAAUGUGAAUUGCAGAUUUCAGUGAAUCAUCGAAUCUUUGAACGCACCUUGCGCCUUGUGGUAUUCCACAAGGCAUGCCCGUUUGAGUAUCAUUAAAUCAUCAACUCUAAAACCUUUGUGGUUUUUUUAGAGCUUGGUCUUGAGGGUUUUGCAGGCUUUUUUUUUUCGAGUCUGCUCCCUUUAAAUGCAUUAGCGAGACUUCCCUAUGCUGAACCGUCUCUUUGACGUGAUAAUUAUCUGCGUCGAAUUUUGGUUCUCGUUGGGCUUGCUUCUAAUCGUCUGUUAAAGACAAAACGGAUUUGGGUGCAUAUAUGCGCCUUUUUCCAACACCUUUUUUGAUCUCAAAUCGGGUAGGACUACCCGCUGAACUUAAGCAUAUCAAUAAGCGGAGGA
Molecule: unclassified non-coding RNA, 421 nt
Filed under: soil metagenome
Description: partial contains 5.8S ribosomal RNA, internal transcribed spacer 2, and large subunit ribosomal RNA
Rfam family: 5.8S ribosomal RNA (bases 1-120)
Source: RNAcentral